This 497-nucleotide ribosomal RNA is filed under the name uncultured bacterium. RNAcentral's name for it is "partial 16S ribosomal RNA". It matches the Rfam family "Bacterial small subunit ribosomal RNA", at positions 28 to 507 of the family's 1533-position model. The record is from RNAcentral.
GAUGAACGCUGGCGGCGUGCCUAAUACAUGCAAGUCGAGCGAACAGACGAGGAGCUUGCUCCUCUGACGUUAGCGGCGGACGGGUGAGUAACACGUGGGUAACCUACCUAUAAGACUGGGAUAACUUCGGGAAACCGGAGCUAAUACCGGAUAAUAUAUUGAACCGCAUGGUUCAAUAGUGAAAGACGGUUUUGCUGUCACUUAUAGAUGGAUCCGCGCCGCAUUAGCUAGUUGGUAAGGUAACGGCUUACCAAGGCAACGAUGCGUAGCCGACCUGAGAGGGUGAUCGGCCACACUGGAACUGAGACACGGUCCAGACUCCUACGGGAGGCAGCAGUAGGGAAUCUUCCGCAAUGGGCGAAAGCCUGACGGAGCAACGCCGCGUGAGUGAUGAAGGUCUUCGGAUCGUAAAACUCUGUUAUUAGGGAAGAACAAAUGUGUAAGUAACUAUGCACGUCUUGACGGUACCUAAUCAGAAAGCCACGGCUAACUACGUG